RNAcentral lists this long non-coding RNA (3316 nucleotides) under Capra hircus (goat). Its description in RNAcentral is "lncRNA (ENSCHIG00000005333.1)". Lineage: Eukaryota; Metazoa; Chordata; Mammalia; Artiodactyla; Bovidae. The record is from RNAcentral.
CCUUGUCCUCCAUGCAUUUGGCAGCAUCACCAGGAGACAUUUGGGGUUGCCAUGCUUAGAUUGGCGGGGGCACUACUGGCAUCUAGUGAGUCAUGCCCCAAAGAUGCAGCUAAGCCUCCUCCAUGGCACAAGUUAGCCUCAUAACAAAGAGCCAUUCAGUCCCAAAUGUCACUAGUGCCAAGGGUGAGAAACUCUGCUCCAAGCUCUUAGUUGACUCUGCUGCACACCCAGCCUUGGGCCAGCUGAGCUGUGGGGAUGACAGGAAAGGGGGGCUGAUUCAGGCUGAGGCAGAGCUGGGAGGCCACAGGACAGCCGUCACAGGUAGGAGCUGUCUGGGCAGGAUGACUGGGAAUUCACCCAGAGGGAGGACCCAGAAGGAGCAGAAAGAAGACUAUGGUGCAGGAAUUUCUUCUGGCAGCCCUCGUGUCAGUAUCUUCAGAUCUCCUACUGCAGAGAAUUCUUUUGCAAAGACUUUUAUCUCCCCGAAGUGGACUCUUCAGUCUGGAAGCAUUAAAACAGGGAUUGCAGGCAAACUCCGGCUUUCCACGUAGGUCUGAUAUUUUUUUUUUAAGAAAUGAGUUAUUCCUUCUGAAAGUUCUAAUUGUCUGGUUCUGUCAAAGCACACAAUAUCUCAGGCUCUGACUUCUCCCUUAUGGUGACAGAAAGGCAUUUGUCAAAUUCCGUAUAGGUUUGUUUCUCAGCUUUUUGCUGUAAUCCCUCUUAUGAAUUUGAAGGAAUAAAUGAACGCUUAAACAUUUGAGGAAACCAUUGUAUUCCAACUAAUUUUUUUUUUUUUUUCAAAGGAAAAGAGCCCUGGAAAGAUGGGACCCUUUUGUCUGACUUUACAGCAAAUUUGGAAGCUGACUGAGCCUUACUCCUUUGGUGGAAAGAGUCUUGGGUGGCUGGUGCAGCCAGGACUACUACAGGGUUCAAACUUAUAAAGUUUGCGAGUUGGUAGCCUUCUUCUUCCUUCUUUUUCUUCUGCUUUUUCUUUUCCUCUUCUUCUCUCCCUCUUUUGCCUCUCCUUCCCUUCCUCUCCUCCUCCUCCUCUUCAUCAAUCUCCUUCUUCUUUCAGCAUUUUAUAAUGAGCAUUUUCCAACCUACAGCAAACCUUACUGAAUACUUAUAUACCUACCAUCCAGCCUCUACUGUUAAUGUUUUUGCUACAUUUGCUUUUUCAGAUUGCUCUCAACUUACCUUUAUUUUAUCAUAUCGAUCUACUCAUCCACCCUUCCACCUAUCCAUUAAUUUCUCUAAUUUUUAAGGAUUUCAGGUUAAAUUUGCAGUAUCAAUGUACCCGCCCCUAAAUGUUUCAGCGUUCAUGUCAUCACCUAUAGUUCAGUAUUUGUUUAUAGGAUUUUUUUCUUUGAAAUAAAACUAAUAUACAGUGAAGUGUACAGUUCUUAAGUGUACUUGAGUUUUGGUAAAUGAUUACCUUGUGUAGCCCAGAUUCCUAUAAAGAUUCUGCACAUACACAUCACCUCAGAAAGUUCCCUUGUCAGAUCAGCCUCUGCUCUUCUCAAGGGAACUACUCUUCUAGUUAUCUUCUACUAUGAGUUGAUUUUGUCUCUUCUUGGACUUCGUAUACUUGGAAUCUCACAAUCUGCACUCUUUUGGGUGAGACUUCUAUCAUUCAGAAUAAGAUCUGUGAGACUCACCCAUGGUGUUGUGGGUACAUUAUCCACUCCUUUUCUUGCCGAGUAUGACUCUAUUGUGUGAACAUAUCCUGUAUAUUAUUCAUUCUCCUAUCGAUGGACACUUGGAUGGCUUCCAAUUUAGAAUUAUUAUGAAUAAAGCUGCUCUGAAUACUAUUGUACAAGUCCUUUUGUGUACAAAUAUUUCCAUAUCUUUUGUGUAAAUACCUAGCAAUGGAAUUAUUGGGUUGUAGAGUAUAUGUAUAUUUACAGGAAGCUGAUAGGCCUUUUCCUAAAGUAAUUGUACCAUUUUAUUGGAGAAGGAAAUGGCAACCCACUCCAGUAUUCUUGCCUGGAGAAUCCCAGGGAAGGGGGAGCCUGGUGGGCUGCCGUCUACGGGGUUGCACAGAGUUGGACACGACUGAAAUGACUGACUUAGCAGCAGCAGCAGCAGCAACAUAGUCUUACUAACAUUGUAUGAGAAUUCUAGUUGUUCCACAAUCUUGCCAAAAUAUGGUGUUACCAGUCACUUUAAAUGUAACUCUUUGGGCAAGUAUGUAGAAGGAUCUAAUUGUGGUUUUCAUUUGUAUUUUUUCUGAUACCAGUGAUGCUAAAUGCCUUUUCAUCCACUUUUUGGUCAUACAGAGGUCUUAUUUUGUAAAGUAAUCAUUCACAUCUUUUGUCAAUUUUUGAAUGGGUUGUUUGCCUUUUUAUAAUUGGUUGUAGAGGUUCUUUAUAUUCAGGACACCAGCAGUCCUUUGUCAGAUAUAUGUUUUAAAAAUAUUUUCUUUCAAUCUGUAGCUUGCUGAAGCAUUUCCUUAGUGACACCUUAUGAUAAGCAGCUUUUAGUUUUGAUGAAAUAUAAUUUGUUAUCUUUUCUUUUGUGUCAUUUUCUGUAAAGUAACAAAUUUCUGAUUAUUUUGAAAUCUCUUCUCCUUUGUCUUCCUCUAAAAGCUUCACUGUUUCAUUUUUCAAAAUUGUGUAUGUGAUCAGUUUUGAAAUGGUUUCUAUGUUUGGUGUGAGGCAGUGGUUGAAGUCCAUUUUUUUUUCCAGGUAGAUAUCUAGUUAGCCUGGAAUCAUUUGUUAAAAAGAUCUAUGUAUCUCUAUUGAACUGCUUUGUCACCUUUGACAAAAACUAAAUACUUGUAAAAUGUGGGUCUAAUGCUGGACUCCCUAUUCUGGGCUCUCCACUGGUGAAGAUGAAUUGAGAUUUAUUAUUGUUAUUUAUUUAUUUAUUUAUUUUUGCAUAUGCACAUCCAAAUGUUUCAGUUCCAUUUGUUGAAAAGGCUGUCCAUUUUCCACUGAAUUGCUUUUGUAUAUUUGUUUAAAAUCAAUUGACCAUGUAUGUAUGGGUCUAUUUCUUGAUGGUCUUUCCUUAUCUUUGAUGCAAAUGUGUAUCCUUUUGCCAGUAUAGUAAGUCUUGAUAUCAAGUAGUAGGCAUAUUUUUUUUUUUUUCCAAAAAUUGCUUUGAAUAGUCCAAGUCUUUUUCAAUUCUGUUUAAAUUGGACUCAGCAUGUCAGUUUCUGAGAAAAAAGAAAACCUGCUGAAAUUCUGACUGGGAAUCAUAUUUAUAGAUCAGUUUAGGGGGACAUGAACAUGAUAGGCCUCCAUUUGUCUUCUUUUUCUUAGAGUUUUCUAUAGCUUUUAAUGUACAGAACUUGCACAUCUUUUGAAAAUUUACU